GACGAACGCUAGCGGCGUGCUUAACACAUGCCAGUCGAACGGAAAGGCCCUGCUUUUGUGGGGUGCUCGAGUGGCGAACGGGUGAGUAACACGUGAGUAACCUGCCCUUGACUUUGGGAUAACUUCAGGAAACUGGGGCUAAUACCGGAUAGGAGCUCCUGCUGCAUGGUGGGGGUUGGAAAGUUUCGGCGGUUGGGGAUGGACUCGCGGCUUAUCAGCUUGUUGGUGGGGUAGUGGCUUACCAAGGCUUUGACGGGUAGCCGGCCUGAGAGGGUGACCGGCCACAUUGGGACUGAGAUACGGCCCAGACUCCUACGGGAGGCAGCAGUGGGGAAUAUUGCACAAUGGGCGGAAGCCUGAUGCAGCAACGCCGCGUGCGGGAUGACGGCCUUCGGGUUGUAAACCGCUUUCGCCUGUGACGAAGCGUGAGUGACGGUAAUGGGUAAAGAAGCACCGGCUAACUACGUG
RNAcentral lists this ribosomal RNA (468 nucleotides) under uncultured bacterium. Its description in RNAcentral is "partial 16S ribosomal RNA". It matches the Rfam family "Bacterial small subunit ribosomal RNA", at positions 28 to 507 of the family's 1533-position model. The record is from RNAcentral.